Molecule: long non-coding RNA, 1056 nt
Filed under: Camelus dromedarius (Arabian camel)
Lineage: Eukaryota; Metazoa; Chordata; Mammalia; Artiodactyla; Camelidae
Description: lncRNA (ENSCDRG00005013000.1)
Source: RNAcentral
AUGGGGCUGGCUGCUUCCCGAGGGAUGGGGGUGUCUAAAAAACGGUGCCAGGCCGGCCAGGCUGAGCAGGCUGGUCCGCCGCCGCAGCAGCUCAGGUGGGCAUCCCGGGGAAGCUGGCCACACCGGCCUGGCCAUUGUCCGCGGCCACCGGCCUGCCUGCCUGCCCUCCGGGGCCGGGCCCGAGGAGGGCAGAGUCUGAGGCACCUUCAGGCCUCAGGAGCCCUGUGCCCACAGGGGCGCCACCGCCUCCUGUCCCGUCUGGCUCUGGUCCCAGCACUGCGGGCCUCUGCCUGGCCGCCGUCCGAGCGCCCUGAGGCCUGGGCGCGGGCCUCGCCCGCCGCCCGCGAGUGUGUCUGUGCCCGUCCGGCAGGAGCGGGCAGAGCAGCGUCCCUCCUCUGUGGCCCGGUGCAUGGCCGCUGCCCGGCCGCUCAGACCUCGGUCUGGAGGUCGAUGAUGUCCUGGCCCACCAGCGGGAUGGUGGCUCCCGACUUCUCCCACUCCACGCUCCGCAGCUCCAGCGGCGACGGCGGCGGCGGCUCCAGCUCCUUCCUCGCCCACGCGGGUGUCCCGUGCGCUUUCCGGAGGCUCUCCCAGGGCCGCUUGUUGGGCGUCUGCUGCUUUUCUGGCUGCUGGCCGGCGGGCGGUGGAGGCGGUGGGGCCCGAGACGAUGCCGAGCAGGUGGGGAGUGGAGACAAGGAGGCAGACAGUGAGAAAGGCAGGUGUGGGCGGCAGGGAGACCCCAGCCCAGAGAGGGAAGUGCAGGAGCAGAGCCCUUCCCAGACCGCACGAGGGUUAAGGCCCCCCACCACUGGGCAAGAGUGGUGGGGGGCUGCAGGGAAGGGCAGCUGGAAGCCCCUGCCGGCUCAGGGCCUCUCGCUUGGCUGUCGCCCUCCUCUGGGAGGCAGCCUUGCCCCGGCUCCCCCAGCCCAGUGCACCACCUGUGCUUCCAGACGGGGCCCCUGGGACAGACCCGUCUGCCUGCCCUGUUCCUCUGGGUAUGUAGAAUGGGCUGGGUCAGGCCAGCCCUCCCAAAAAGUUGAACGAAUGAAUGAAUGA